Long non-coding RNA from Thalassophryne amazonica, 603 nucleotides. RefSeq lists it as uncharacterized. The record is from RefSeq and is a predicted model, not a curated record. NCBI's taxonomy places the organism in Eukaryota, Metazoa, Chordata, Actinopteri, Batrachoidiformes, Batrachoididae. The transcript is spliced from 3 exons.
UAAUAGCUUUAAAAACAAACAUUAAAAAGUUUCUGUCAAUUCUAAAACAAACUGAAAGCCAGUGGAGUGAGUAAAGUACAGGAAUAAUAUGCUCACUUCUGAAUGUCUUCAUUUAAAGAGGAGCAGCAGCAUUUUGCACAAGUUGGAGGAGUACAAGAGAAGACUGGUUAAUACCAGCAUAAAGCAUGUUACAGUCAUCAAGUCUGGAGCUGUUGAAAACAUGAAUGGACAUCUGAAGAUCACAUUUACUGAGAAAGAACUUUACUUUAGCCAGAAGACGUAGCUGGAAAAACGUGUUUAUCUGUUGAUCGAACCUCAAACAUCUGUCAAAUAUCACUCCCAAAUUCUGCUGGUUUUAAAUAAUGAGCCAGAAAAUCAAAGUUUGACGGUACAAUAUUCAGCCUGCCAGAAUAUCCAAACACAAUGGUCUCAGUUUUACCAUUUUUCAGGUAAAGGACAUUUUCAGACAGACACUGCUUUACAUCAUGAAUCCACUUAAAUAAUGAAUUCAAAGCAUCGCUUCUUUUAGUCCUCAUAGGCAGAUAGAAUUGCGGAUCAUCUGCAUAACAGUGAAAGGACAGGUUGUACUCGGCUAUAAUUGAC